AGACGACGCUGGCGGCGUGCCUAACACAUGCAAGUCGAACGGAGUCAGAAAGCUUGCUUUUUGACUUAGUGGCGGACGGGUGAGUAACGCGUGAGUAACCUGCCUCUGAGAGGGGAAAAACGUUCUGAAAAAGAACGCUAAUACCGCAUAACGUAUCGAAGCCGCAUGACUUUUGAUACCAAAGAUUUUUAUCGCUCGGAGAUGGACUCGCGUCCGAUUAGUUAGUUGGUGAGGUAACGGCUCACCAAGACCGCGAUCGGUAGCCGGACUGAGAGGUUGAUCGGCCACAUUGGGACUGAGACACGGCCCAGACUCCUACGGGAGGCAGCAGUGGGGGAUAUUGCGCAAUGGGGGCAACCCUGAACCGCAGCAACGCCGCGUGAAGGAUGAAGGUUUUCGGAUUGUAAACUUCUUUUAUCAGGGACGAAGCUUGACGGUACCUGAUGAAUAAGCUCCGACUAACUACGUGCCAGCCGCCGC
This 480-nucleotide ribosomal RNA is filed under the name uncultured bacterium. RNAcentral describes it as "bacterial SSU rRNA". It matches the Rfam family "Bacterial small subunit ribosomal RNA", at positions 32 to 518 of the family's 1533-position model. The record is from RNAcentral.